UGGCGCACAUAAGACAUGCAAGUCGAACGGAAGUCGUUAUAAUCGAAGCUGAAAUGAACAGAGAACUUGUUCGAAGGAAUUUGACGUAGACUUUAUAACAAUGGCUUUAGUGGCGGACUGGUGAGUAACGCGUGAGCAACCUGCCUAUUAGAGGGGAAUAACAGUGAGAAAUCAUUGCUAAUACCGCAUAUGCCAUAGGUACCACAUGGUACUAGUGGGAAAGGAGUAAUCCGCUAAUAGAUGGGCUCGCGUCUGAUUAGAUAGUUGGUGGGGUAACGGCCUACCAAGUCAACGAUCAGUAGCCGGACUGAGAGGUUGAACGGCCACAUUGGGACUGAGAUACGGCCCAGACUCCUACGGGAGGCAGCAGUCGGGAAUAUUGCGCAAUGGAGGAAACUCUGACGCAGUGACGCCGCGUAUAGGAUGAAGGUCUUCGGAUUGUAAACUAUUGUCGUUAGGGAAGAGAAAGGACAGUACCUAAGGAGGAAGCUCCGGCUAACUACGUGCCAGCAGCCGCGGUAAUACGUAGGGAGCAAGCGUUAUCCGGAUUUA
Molecule: ribosomal RNA, 552 nt
Filed under: uncultured bacterium
Lineage: Bacteria
Description: bacterial SSU rRNA
Rfam family: Bacterial small subunit ribosomal RNA
Source: RNAcentral